Molecule: non-coding RNA, 293 nt
Organism: Corchorus olitorius
Lineage: Eukaryota; Viridiplantae; Streptophyta; Magnoliopsida; Malvales; Malvaceae
Source: Rfam
GUCAGUAACCCCGCCCUAUCGGACGAGGCUAAAAAAGAAAAAUUAGAUAGUUUUCUGAAUAAGCCUUCGACUUGGAUUAACUGACCAGCUUUAGUCUGUGAAACGGCAAGUUUUACAGACUACGUUAAAAAACAGAUGACACCGUAAAAUGCUUCUCCAGUUUUACGCCAUGUCGUAAUACAUUAAACAUUUCUUUGGGGUAAGGAAAAGUGUGUACUACAUGGUAAAAUGUAAUUUCUUCGAAAUUGCAUCAAAACCGAAAUGUUUUUUAACUUUGGCGAGGAGAUAGCUAG